GUUAUUGUUUAUUUGAUACAACAAAUGGAUAACUGUAGAAAAACUAGAGCUAAUACAUGCUUUAAUCGUAAGAUUGUAUUUAUUAGAUAUUCUGAAUUGGUGAAUCAUAAUAACUUCGCAAAUCUCGUUUAUGACGAGAUAAAUCAUCCAAGUUUCUGCCCUAUCAUGCUUUCGAUGGUAGUGUAUUGGACUACCAUGGCUCUCACGGGUAACAGGGAAUUAGGGUUCGAUUCUGGAGAAGGAGCCUGAGAAACGGCUACUACAUCUACGGAAGGCAGCAGGCGCGUAAAUUACCCAAUCCUGACUCAGGGAGGUGGUGACAAGAUAUAACGACGCGGUUAUUAUCGCGAUUGUAGUGAGGGUAUUCUAAACAGAACCUAUAGUACGAUUAGAGGGCAAGUCUGGUGCCAGCAGCCGCGGUAAUUCCAGCUCUAAUAGCGUAUAUUAAAGUUGCUGCAGUUAAAAAGCUCGUAGUUGGAUUUCAAGGAUUGUAGAACCUCCACGGGGAUACAUCCUACUAGUCUUCGGACUGUUACUGUGAGAAAAUUAGAGUGUUUCAAGCAGGCUUUCGCAAGAAUACAUUAGCAUGGAAUAACGAAUGUAUUUAGAAUCUUGGUUAAUUCUAAAUUACGAUUAAUAGAGACAGUUGGGGGCAUUAGUAUUUAAUUGUCAGAGGUGAAAUUCUUGGAUUUGUUAAAGACUAACGUAUGCGA
This 713-nucleotide ribosomal RNA is filed under the name Polyplastron multivesiculatum. RNAcentral's name for it is "SSU rRNA". It matches the Rfam family "Eukaryotic small subunit ribosomal RNA", at positions 109 to 948 of the family's 1831-position model. Lineage: Eukaryota; Ciliophora; Litostomatea; Entodiniomorphida; Ophryoscolecidae. The record is from RNAcentral.